This 810-nucleotide ribosomal RNA is filed under the name Dactylella clavata. Its description in RNAcentral is "eukaryotic LSU rRNA". It matches the Rfam family "Eukaryotic large subunit ribosomal RNA", at positions 52 to 941 of the family's 3401-position model. The record is from RNAcentral. Lineage: Eukaryota; Fungi; Ascomycota; Orbiliomycetes; Orbiliales; Orbiliaceae.
GAAGGAAAAGAAACCAACAGGGAUUGCCUCAGUAACGGCGAGUGAAGCGGCAACAGCUCAAAUUUGAAAUCUGGCCCCUUCGGCUUCCGAGUUGUAAUUUGAAGAGGGUGUUUCGGUUGCGGCCCUGGCCUAAGUUCCUUGGAACAGGACGUCAUGGAGGGUGAGAAUCCCGUACAUGGCUGAGGGCUUGCUUCUAUGUGAAACCCCUUCGAAGAGUCGAGUUGUUUGGGAAUGCAGCUCAAAAUGGGUGGUAAAUUUCAUCUAAAGCUAAAUAUUGGCGGGAGACCGAUAGCGCACAAGUAGAGUGAUCGAAAGAUGAAAAGCACUUUGAAAAGAGAGUUAAACAGUACGUGAAAUUGUUGAAAGGGAAGCGCUUGCAAUCAGACUCGCUUUCGGUUGAUCAACGUUCCUUUUGGUUCGUGCACUCUGCCGUUUGCGGGCCAGCAUCAGUUGGGGCGGUGGGACAAAGGCGGUGGGAAUGUGGCUCCCCUCGGGGAGUGUUAUAGCAAUGGUUGUAAGCGACCCGUCUUGAAACACGGACCAAGGAGUCUAACAUCUACGCGAGUCUUUGGGUGUCAAACCCAUGGGCGCAAUGAAAGUGAACGGAGGUGGGAGUCCUCGGGGCACCAUCGACCGAUCCUGAUGUUCUCGGAUGGAUUUGAGUAAGAGCAAACCUGUUGGAACCCGAAAGAUGGUGAACUAUGCCUGGAUAGGGUGGAUCCAGAGGAAACUCUGGUGGAGGCUCGCAGCGGUUCUGACGUGCAAAUCGAUCGUCAAAUUUGGGUAUAGGGGCGAAAGACUAAUCGAACC